RNAcentral lists this transfer RNA (67 nucleotides) under Marmota monax (woodchuck). RNAcentral's name for it is "tRNA.Val". Lineage: Eukaryota; Metazoa; Chordata; Mammalia; Rodentia; Sciuridae. The record is from RNAcentral.
GGUUAUAGCUCAGUGGGAGAGCACUUGCCUAACAUGUGUGAGGCACUGGGUUUGAUUCUCAGCACCA